CCUGUGCAAGAAGUCAACUCCGACGAAUAGUCGGAGUGUCUGCUCUAUCACUUUGUAUUCUUUUAUUUUCGUUUUGUCUUUGAUAUUUGUAAUCGGGCUUCGGUCCCAUUUUGUAAUCGGGCUUCGACCCAAUUUUGUAAGUCAUUUCAACUAAAUGGAAUCAAAGACUUUUCAAACUUUUCCCCACGUGCGGUUCAAAGUGUUUGAUUUGCCGAGCCAUCCCCGAGAGUAUAGGUCGUAGCUCCGACACACCUCAUUAGGAUAUUUGGUAGGAUCCAGUGUAGCCGAUCAAAGUAGUUAUUGGCGUGUGCCAUGCUAAGGGCAGUGCAAGCCUCGAUCGUAGGUCGGCGUCCUGACUGUCGUACAGGUUGUAUAGGAUCCGAUGGUCGAGAGUCAUCCCGAUCGUAGGUCGAGCGUGCACGUUGGGUCGGAUGUC
This 436-nucleotide long non-coding RNA is filed under the name Elaeis guineensis (African oil palm). Its description in RNAcentral is "long non-coding RNA (EGUI_LNC072473)". The record is from RNAcentral. Lineage: Eukaryota; Viridiplantae; Streptophyta; Magnoliopsida; Arecales; Arecaceae.